This 689-nucleotide ribosomal RNA is filed under the name uncultured bacterium. RNAcentral's name for it is "bacterial SSU rRNA". It matches the Rfam family "Bacterial small subunit ribosomal RNA", at positions 395 to 1074 of the family's 1533-position model. The record is from RNAcentral.
UGCCGCGUGUGUGAAGAAGGCCUUUGGGUUGUAAAGCACUAUAAGCGAGGAGGAGGCUACCUGUAUCAAUACUCUAGGAUAGUGGGACGUUACUCGCAGAAUAAGCACCGGCUAACUCUGUGCCAGCAGCCGCGGUAAUACAGAGGGUGCGAGCGUUAAUCGGAUUUACUGGGCGUAAAGCGUGCGUAGGCGGCUGAUUAAGUCGGAUAUGAAAUCCCUGAGCUUAACUUAGGAAUUGCAUUCGAUACUGGUCAGCUAGAGUAUGGGAGAGGAUGGUAGAAUUCCAGGUGUAGCGGUGAAAUGCGUAGAGAUCUGGAGGAAUACCGAUGGCGAAGGCAGCCAUCUGGCCUAAUACUGACGCUGAGGUACGAAAGCAUGGGGAGCAAACAGGAUUAGAUACCCUGGUAGUCCAUGCCGUAAACGAUGUCUACUAGCCGUUGGGGCCUUUGAGGCUUUAGUGGCGCAGCUAACGCGAUAAGUAGACCGCCUGGGGAGUACGGUCGCAAGACUAAAACUCAAAUGAAUUGACGGGGGCCCGCACAAGCGGUGGAGCAUGUGGUUUAAUUCGAUGCAACGCGAAGAACCUUACCUGGCCUUGACAUAAUAGAAACUCUCCAGAGAUGGAUUGGUGCCUUCGGGAAUCUAGAUACAGGUGCUGCAUGGCUGUCGUCAGCUCGUGUCGUGAGAUG